Long non-coding RNA from Daphnia magna, 334 nucleotides. RefSeq lists it as uncharacterized. The transcript is spliced from 3 exons. NCBI's taxonomy places the organism in Eukaryota, Metazoa, Arthropoda, Branchiopoda, Diplostraca, Daphniidae. The record is from RefSeq and is a predicted model, not a curated record.
GGCGCGUCGGUCAUGAAGAUAGGGAAAAAUCAGGCCGCGAAGUUGUUUUCAAGGCGGGGCUUUGUGCGUCGCCUGGCAACGGAGUGGUUUUUCCACAGGCCGUGUGAGGCUGUCAACAUGGUCGCACUACAUAUGUAUUAAGCCUCAGUCGUCAGUUUUUCCGGAAGAGCAAAUGGUUUCCGGGUUUCUGUGUGGCGAAUUGGCGUCCAGGCUGUACCCUAUCGGGAACUUCCUGAACGGAGUGAGGGCCCCUAAUGAAAAUCACGAAAAUCAGAUCAGCGCAAGCCUCAUAGGACAUGUAUACGGAGUCUGUUUUGCCGGAAGAGCAAACGGU